ACGGGAGGCAGCAGUGGGGAAUAUUGGACAAUGGGGGAAACCCUGAUCCAGCGACGCCGCGUGAGUGAAGAAGUAUUUCGGUAUGUAAAGCUCUAUCAGCAGGAAAGAAAAUGACGGUACCUGACUAAGAAGCCCCGGCUAACUACGUGCCAGCAGCCGCGGUAAUACGUAGGGGGCAAGCGUUAUCCGGAUUUACUGGGUGUAAAGGGAGCGUAGACGGUUCUGCAAGUCAGAAGUGAAAGCCCGGGGCCCAACCCCGGAACUGCUUUUGAAACUGUAGAACUGGAGUGCAGGAGAGGUAAGUGGAAUUCCUAGUGUAGCGGUGAAAUGCGUAGAUAUUAGGAGGAACACCAGUGGCGAAGGCGGCUUACUGGACUGUAACUGACGUUGAGGCUCGAAGGCGUGGGGAGCAAACAGGAUUAGAUACCCUGGUA
This 434-nucleotide ribosomal RNA is filed under the name uncultured Lachnospiraceae bacterium. Its description in RNAcentral is "bacterial SSU rRNA". It matches the Rfam family "Bacterial small subunit ribosomal RNA", at positions 341 to 792 of the family's 1533-position model. The record is from RNAcentral. Lineage: Bacteria; Bacillati; Bacillota; Clostridia; Lachnospirales; Lachnospiraceae.